GACCAGACUCCUACGGGAGGCAGCAGUGGGGAAUAUUGCACAAUGGGGGAAACCCUGAUGCAGCGACGCCGCGUGAGUGAAGAAGUAUUUCGGUAUGUAAAGCUCUAUCAGCAGGGAAGAAAAUGACGGUACCUGACUAAGAAGCCCCGGCUAACUACGUGCCAGCAGCCGCGGUAAUACGUAGGGGGCAAGCGUUAUCCGGAUUUACUGGGUGUAAAGGGAGCGUAGACGGCAUGGCAAGUCAGAUGUGAAAGCCCGGGGCUCAACCCCGGGACUGCAUUUGAAACUGUCAGGCUGGAGUGCAGGAGAGGUAAGUGGAAUUCCUAGUGUAGCGGUGAAAUGCGUAGAUAUUAGGAGGAACACCAGUGGCGAAGGCGGCUUACUGGACUGUAACUGACGUUGAGGCUCGAAAGCGUGGGGAGCAAACAGGAUUAGAUACCCCAGUAA
This 447-nucleotide ribosomal RNA is filed under the name uncultured bacterium. RNAcentral describes it as "bacterial SSU rRNA". It matches the Rfam family "Bacterial small subunit ribosomal RNA", at positions 329 to 793 of the family's 1533-position model. The record is from RNAcentral.